RNAcentral lists this ribosomal RNA (86 nucleotides) under Rhodococcus qingshengii. The record is from RNAcentral. Lineage: Bacteria; Bacillati; Actinomycetota; Actinomycetes; Mycobacteriales; Nocardiaceae.
GUUCCCAUACCGAACACGGAAGUUAAGCUUCUCAGCGCCGAUGGUAGUUGGGACUUUGUCCCUGUGAGAGUAGGACGUUGCCAGGC